CAUGAAGCCGGAAUCGCUAGUAAUCGCAGAUCAGCAUGCUGCGGUGAAUACGUUCCCGGGUCUUGUACACACCGCCCGUCACACCAUGGGAGCCGGGAAUGCCCGAAGUCGGUGACCCAACCGAAAGGAGGGAGCCGCCGAAGGCAGGUCUGGUAACUGGGGUGAAGUCGUAACAAGGUAGC
This 182-nucleotide ribosomal RNA is filed under the name uncultured bacterium. RNAcentral describes it as "partial 16S ribosomal RNA". It matches the Rfam family "Bacterial small subunit ribosomal RNA", at positions 1319 to 1500 of the family's 1533-position model. The record is from RNAcentral.